Molecule: ribosomal RNA, 379 nt
Filed under: uncultured eukaryote
Lineage: Eukaryota
Description: partial 18S ribosomal RNA
Rfam family: Eukaryotic small subunit ribosomal RNA
Source: RNAcentral
CAAUAGCGUAUAUUAAAGUUGUUGCAGUUAAAAAGCUCGUAGUUGGAUUUCGGAUGGGACUUGCCGGUCCGUCGUUUCGAUGUGCACUGGCCAGUCCUAUCUUGUUGUCGGGGACUAGCUCCUGGGCUUCACUGUCCGGGACUAGGAGCUGACGAGGUUACUUUGAGUAAAUUAGAGUGUUCAAAGCAAGCCUACGCUCUGAAUACAUUAGCAUGGAAUAACACGAUAGGACUCUGGCUUAUCUUGUUGGUCUGUGAGACCGGAGUAAUGAUUAAGAGGGACAGUCGGGGGCAUUCGUAUUUCAUUGUCAGAGGUGAAAUUCUUGGAUUUAUGAAAGACGAGCUUCUGCGAAAGCAUUUGUCAAGGAUGUUUUCAUUAA